Molecule: long non-coding RNA, 1380 nt
Organism: Octodon degus (degu)
Lineage: Eukaryota; Metazoa; Chordata; Mammalia; Rodentia; Octodontidae
Exons: 3
Source: RefSeq, a predicted model, not a curated record
CCUGUCUUAGGUGGUUCUGGUCUACCCAGUUCAUUACACGGAUCCCAUCUAUGACCUCUCACACAGAUGCUCAAGUCACCUAUCUUGCCCUUUAAGCACCUUGAAUUUGAAACUAACUUUUAGGGCAAGAAUUUUAGCUACCAUGGGAACUUUUUGCUAUCUGGUACUCCUUAUGCCCAUCUUGCUGAUACUAAUGUACCGUACUUUUUACAAGUGGUCCUCAUAAAGUCGAGAAAACUGGUUUCAUGCUAAAAAUGUGGUUUUUAAACAAUGAAUUCAACAUCUACAGGCUUUUUUUUUAUAUUUGUAUAAAAAUCUCUAAGGCUCCAAGCUCAGGUUGAUAAAAAGACACCAGCAUUUUAACCUGAAACCUUUCCUAGCUGUUUAACACUACAAAGGGAAGACUUAAUAUUGUACACUUUGUCAUAAGCCCACUGCAAAAGUAGAAGCGUAAUAGCCUUUUGCAUGCUAAGCAAACACUACCACUGGGCUACAUCCCUAGCUCAUCACAGCAUUUUUAUAGAGCAAAGGGCUGUUCACAUGCUUCAUAAUUUUUUGAAAGCAAAUGGUUCCUUUGUCUAACACACAAAAGCUGAAAUAAUCUCUACUCAAACAUUAGGAUAUACAUAAUCUACAUAAUGAAUGUAUUAAAGCUUUGUACAUUCAAUUUAGGUUUUUGACACUUUGUUGAAUAAACAAGUUUUAUUUAUAAAUUUAGUCAACAUACAUAAUUGACCUAAAAACUUCAAUAGGAUGAAUUAAAAAACCCCUUGGAAGGCCGGCUCUAUAAAAGGGAUUUUCCCAGGACAGUAACCAGAUGUGACCUAUCCCAACACCAUCUUAAUUGGCAGAGAUCCAAUAGGCUGAGCAGUAUGCUCCUCCUCCACAAGUUCACACUAACUCCACAAGGAGAAAAACGAACCUUGGUAUUGUUUCCUCUCAGUAGAUCAAAAAAAAACUAAUUAUGAGACCAACCACAAUACAAUGAAAAGCUGCACUUAACUAGAUUAGUAACAGAUGAUGCUGGUGUGAAUUAACUUAUUAUUCUAGAGCCCUUAUAAACAAAAUCCCCCAGUUAGUGUUUGCAUUAUCAGCUAGAGGGUUAGUUAAUGUGGUAGAAUGAGGACUUAUGCAAGGUAUACACAUAGCAUUUCACUACUAUAUAGAAAACAAGUGCAGUCUAGUCAGGAAAAAACCAACUGGAUUCUAUUACACACACCUUAAUGACAAGACUUCCCACCACUUGUGAAUGUAAAACAUUUAAUUUAAAAAUGUUGACACUACAAUAUAUAAAAUAGCUAUUAUAAAUGCACAUAGUGUAUUCUAUAGCUGCCAGGUUUACUUUUUUUUUCUUUUAAGGAAACUGUAAGUUACACUGUG